UACGUGGGGGGCGAGCGUUGUUCGGAAUUAUUGGUCGUAAAGGGCGCGUAGGCGGUCGGAUAAGUCUUGUGUGAAAUCUUCGGGCUCAACUCGAAGUCUGCACAGGAAACUAUCUGGCUUGAGUGUGGGAGAGGUGAGUGGAAUUCCUGGUGUAGCGGUGAAAUGCGUAGAUAUCAGGAGGAACACCUGUGGCGAAAGCGGCUCACUGGACCACAACUGACGCUGAGGCGCGAAAGCUAGGGGAGCAAACAGG
This 253-nucleotide ribosomal RNA is filed under the name uncultured bacterium. RNAcentral describes it as "partial 16S ribosomal RNA". It matches the Rfam family "Bacterial small subunit ribosomal RNA", at positions 524 to 776 of the family's 1533-position model. The record is from RNAcentral.